This is a long non-coding RNA of Saccostrea cuccullata (small rock oyster), 328 nucleotides long. RefSeq lists it as uncharacterized. The transcript is spliced from 3 exons. NCBI's taxonomy places the organism in Eukaryota, Metazoa, Mollusca, Bivalvia, Ostreida, Ostreidae. The record is from RefSeq and is a predicted model, not a curated record.
UUCUGUAAGCUGCACCCUUUUAAUUCUACCCCAUGGCGGGGCCCUUGCUGACUGGUCAGUUUUCUAGUUUUUUUACACUUCAUCUAGAUUGAAGAAGAUUCUUGCCUUGACAACUGCUCGAACUCCCGGGUUGGCAUGCUCUAAAGGUAUAGUGAAUUCAGUAUGCAGAUUGUUGAAAGGAAAACAUCAAGACGGGGCGAGGAAGACAACAAAACAUGAUUACCCAGAUUGAGGAUCCCAGUGUUCUUUGUCUCAAGCUACUCAGCCUACCAUAAGAAAAUUAAAAGAUCUGUCAUGAAGAAGAGGCAGGUUCUCAACUUUCAUAUCA